GGACGCUUAGCUCAGUUGGUUAGAGCACGUGCUUCACACGCACGGGGUCUGCGGUUCGAGUCCGCAAGUGUCCACCA
This 77-nucleotide transfer RNA is filed under the name Verrucomicrobiota bacterium. Its description in RNAcentral is "Verrucomicrobia bacterium (freshwater metagenome) tRNA-Val". It matches the Rfam family "tRNA". From Rfam's summary of the family: Transfer RNA (tRNA) molecules are approximately 80 nucleotides in length. Their secondary structure includes four short double-helical elements and three loops (D, anti-codon, and T loops). The record is from RNAcentral. Lineage: Bacteria; Pseudomonadati; Verrucomicrobiota.